Molecule: long non-coding RNA, 606 nt
Organism: Lytechinus pictus (painted urchin)
Lineage: Eukaryota; Metazoa; Echinodermata; Echinoidea; Temnopleuroida; Toxopneustidae
Exons: 3
Source: RefSeq, a predicted model, not a curated record
CUUCCCCGUUCCGAAUCGUCUUGACCCUGCCCUGGCUAAGCUGGGAAGCUGAGCCUCUGAGUCUGGGGCCCUGUCUCUAUCCCGAGUGAUAUGUUUCUGUGAUGACUGUAUUAAGGCUCAAAUCUAAAAAAAAAUCUAAAAUACUUACCUAGGGCGUUUGCAAGUGGAUUUAGACCCUUUUAUUCAGCUGCUUGAAUCCAAAUCUGGAUCGUGAAACCAUGGACGCUCACACUUUUCGACAGGAGCAGGGAUUUGUUUCACAAAAGAUUUGUAAGUGUAAGUUCGCAACCUUAUGUUGGUUGCAUACGCGAGUUUCUAUCGAUAAUAUCAGAAGCUAGAUUUAGGACGAGUUUGAGAAACCGUUCCCGGAAGUUAAUGAUCGGACAAAGUUCACGGAGCUUCGGUUUCCCAUUGAUGAUGUUGGAACUUGUGUGUAAGUGCCACGUUUGAUAAAUUUAAAUCGAAAAUACCAUGCCUCUUAGAUUGGAUAUAAAGCGAAAGCUUUCAGCACGGUCUGACCGUGUAAAGUGCGUUGACCUUCAUCCAUCUGAGCCAUGGAUGCUUGUCAGUUUGUACAAUGGUAACGUACAUGUAUGGAACCAUGAA